RNAcentral lists this ribosomal RNA (1033 nucleotides) under bacterium enrichment culture clone aHCH7_B11. Its description in RNAcentral is "bacterial SSU rRNA". It matches the Rfam family "Bacterial small subunit ribosomal RNA", at positions 46 to 1076 of the family's 1533-position model. The record is from RNAcentral.
GCUUACCAUGCAAGUCGAACGGGACUGCUAUGAAGGAGUUUUCGGACAACGGAUUAGUAGUUUAGUGGCGGACUGGUGAGUAACGCGUGAGGAACCUGCCUUUCAGAGGGGGAUAACAGCUGGAAACGGCUGCUAAUACCGCAUGAUAUAUUUGAGUGGCAUCACUCGGAUAUCAAAGAUUUAUCGCUGAAAGAUGGCCUCGCGUCUGAUUAGCUAGUUGGUGAGGUAACGGCCCACCAAGGCGACGAUCAGUAGCCGGACUGAGAGGUUGACCGGCCACAUUGGGACUGAGAUACGGCCCAGACUCCUACGGGAGGCAGCAGUGGGGAAUAUUGGGCAAUGGGCGAAAGCCUGACCCAGCAACGCCGCGUGAAGGAAGAAGGCUUUCGGGUUGUAAACUUCUUUGACAGGGGAAGAGUAGAAGACGGUACCCUGAAAACAAGCCACGGCUAACUACGUGCCAGCAGCCGCGGUAAUACGUAGGUGGCAAGCGUUGUCCGGAUUUACUGGGUGUAAAGGGCGUGCAGCCGGGAAGGCAAGUCAGAUGUGAAAUCCGUGGGCUUAACCCACGAACUGCAUUUGAAACUGCUUUUCUUGAGUAUCGGAGAGGUAAUCGGAAUUCCUAGUGUAGCGGUGAAAUGCGUAGAUAUUAGGAAGAACACCAGUGGCGAAGGCGGAUUACUGGACGACAACUGACGGUGAGGCGCGAAAGCGUGGGGAGCAAACAGGAUUAGAUACCCUGGUAGUCCACGCUGUAAACGAUCGAUACUAGGUGUGCGGGGACUGACCCCCUGCGUGCCGCAGUUAACACAAUAAGUAUCGCACCUGGGGAGUACGAUCGCAAGGUUGAAACUCAAAGGAAUUGGCGGGGGCCCGCACAAGCGGUGGAUUAUGUGGUUUAAUUCGAAGCAACGCGAAGAACCUUACCAGGACUUGACAUCCUACUAACGAGGUAGCGAUACGUCAGGUGCCCUUCGGGGAAAGUAGAGACGGUGGGUGCAUGGUUGUCGUCAGCUCGUGUCGUGAGAAUGUU